Molecule: ribosomal RNA, 253 nt
Filed under: uncultured bacterium
Lineage: Bacteria
Description: partial 16S ribosomal RNA
Rfam family: Bacterial small subunit ribosomal RNA
Source: RNAcentral
UACGUAGGCAGCAAGCGUUGUUCGGAAUUACUGGGCGUAAAGAGUGCGUAGGCGGUUUGGCAAGUCCGAUGUGAAAUCUCCUGGCUUAACUUGGAGGGUGCGUUAGAUACUGGCAGGCUUGAGUGUGGGAGAGGAGAGCGGAAUUCCUGGUGUAGCGGUGAAAUGCGUAGAUAUCAGGAGGAACGCCUGUGGUGUAGACGGCUCUCUGGACCAUUACUGACACUGAGGUACGAAAGCGUGGGGAGCAAACAGG